AGUACGUUUGUACUCCUGGCUCAGGACGAACGCUGGCGGCGUGCUUAACACAUGCAAGUCGAACGAUGAAGCCUAGCUUGCUAGGUGGAUUAGUGGCGAACGGUGAGUAAUACGUGAGUAACCUACCUUUAACUCUGGGAUAAGCCUGGGAAACUGGGUCUAAUACCGGAUACGACCAAUCUCCGCAUGGGGUGUUGGUGGAAAGCGUUAUGUGGUGGUUAUAGAUGGGCUCACGGCCUAUCAGCUUGUUGGUGAGGUAACGGCUCACCAAGGCGACGACGGGUAGCCGGCCUGAGAGGGUGACCGGCCACACUGGGGCUGAGACACGGCCCAGACUCCUACGGGAGGCAGCAGUGGGGAAUAUUGCACAAUGGGCGCAAGCCUGAUGCAGCGACGCCGCGUGAGGGAUGACGGCCUUCGGGUUGUAAACCUCUGUUAGCAGGGAAGAAGAGAGAUUGACGGUACCUGCAGAGAAAGCGCCGGCUAACUACGUG
Molecule: ribosomal RNA, 494 nt
Filed under: uncultured Rothia sp.
Lineage: Bacteria; Bacillati; Actinomycetota; Actinomycetes; Micrococcales; Micrococcaceae
Description: bacterial SSU rRNA
Rfam family: Bacterial small subunit ribosomal RNA
Source: RNAcentral